UACAGAGGAUGCAAGCGUUAUCCGGAAUGAUUGGGCGUAAAGCGUCUGUAGGUGGCUUUUUAAGUCCGCCGUCAAAUCCCAGGGCUCAACUCUGGACAGGCGGUGGAAACUACCAAGCUGGAGUACGGUAGGGGCAGAGGGAAUUUCCGGUGGAGCGGUGAAAUGCGUAGAGAUCAGGAGGAACACCCGUGGCGAAGGCGGCACUCUGGGCCGGCUCUGACGCUGAGACGCGAAAGCGUGGGGAGCGAACGGG
RNAcentral lists this ribosomal RNA (253 nucleotides) under uncultured bacterium. RNAcentral's name for it is "partial 16S ribosomal RNA". It matches the Rfam family "Bacterial small subunit ribosomal RNA", at positions 524 to 776 of the family's 1533-position model. The record is from RNAcentral.